AACGCACAUUGCGCCCUGUGGUAUUCCGCAGGGCAUGCCUGUUCGAGCGUCAGUACAACACUCAAGCCUAGCUUGGUAUUGAGCCACGUCCGCAAGGGCCGGCUUUAAAGUCAGUGGCGGCGCCAUCUGGCUCUCAGCGUAGUAAUACUCCUCGCUGUUGGGUCCUGGUGGAUGCUUGCCAGCAACCUCCAACCUUCUAAGUUUGACCUCGGAUCAGGUAGGGAUACCCGCUGAACUUAA
This 240-nucleotide unclassified non-coding RNA is filed under the name Mycena sp. RNAcentral describes it as "partial contains 5.8S ribosomal RNA, internal transcribed spacer 2, and large subunit ribosomal RNA". The stretch from base 1 to 52 matches the Rfam family "5.8S ribosomal RNA", at positions 103 to 154 of the family's 154-position model. Lineage: Eukaryota; Fungi; Basidiomycota; Agaricomycetes; Agaricales; Mycenaceae. The record is from RNAcentral.